CCUGAAUGUUAGGAGCAAAACCACCUUCAUCACCAACAUUGGUGGCAUCCUGACCAUACUUCUUCUUGAUAACAGACUGUUGUGGUACACUUCAACACCCAUCUUCAUGGCCUCCUUGAAUGAAGCGGCCCCAGUAGGAAGGAUCAUGAACUCCUGCAUGGCAAGCUUGUUUCCAGCAUGUGAUCCACCGUUAAUGACGUUGAAUGCAGGUACGGGCAAAACCAGUUGCUUGUUUCCAGCAAGGUUGGCAAUGUGCUG
Molecule: small RNA, 258 nt
Filed under: Oryza sativa Japonica Group (Japanese rice)
Lineage: Eukaryota; Viridiplantae; Streptophyta; Magnoliopsida; Poales; Poaceae
Description: sRNA Os10g0167401
Source: RNAcentral